AUUGAACGCUGGCGGCAUGCCUUACACAUGCAAGUCGAACGGUAACGGGCCUUCGGGUGCCGACGAGUGGCGAACGGGUGAGUAAUACAUCGGAACGUGCCCGAUCGUGGGGGUUAACGUGGCGAAAGCUUUGCUAAUACCGCAUACGAUCUACGGAUGAAAGCAGGGGACCGCAAGGCCUUGCGCGGACGGAGCGGCCGAUGGCAGAUUGGGUAGUUGGUGGGAUAAAAGCUUACCAAGCCGACGAUCUGUAGCUGGUCUGAGAGGGGGAUCGGCCACACUGGGACUGGGACACGGCCCAGACUCCUACGGGAGGCAGCAGUGGGGAAUUUUAGACAAUGGGCGCAAGCCUGAUCCAGCCAUGCCGCGUGCAGGAUGAAGGCCUUCGGGUUGUAAACUGCUUUUGUACGGAACGAAAAGCCUUCUUUUAAUACAGGAGGGUCAUGACGGUACCGUAAGAAUAAGCACCGGCUAACUACGUG
RNAcentral lists this ribosomal RNA (482 nucleotides) under uncultured bacterium. RNAcentral's name for it is "partial 16S ribosomal RNA". It matches the Rfam family "Bacterial small subunit ribosomal RNA", at positions 30 to 507 of the family's 1533-position model. The record is from RNAcentral.